This 1350-nucleotide ribosomal RNA is filed under the name Glugea hertwigi. Its description in RNAcentral is "SSU rRNA". It matches the Rfam family "Microsporidia small subunit ribosomal RNA". Lineage: Eukaryota; Fungi; Microsporidia; Glugeidae. The record is from RNAcentral.
CACCAGGUUGAUUCUGCCUGACGUGGAUGCUAGUCUCAUAGGUUAAGCCAUGCAUGUGCAAGCGAAGCGUAAGUGGAGCGGCGCAAGGCUCAGUAACGGGCGAGUAUUUGAUCUCCUAGAGUGGAUAUCCUCUGUAACCGGAGGGCAAAACACAAGAUGAGCGAUUGACAAGGUCGUUCGUUUAACGAAUAGUGUAGGAGAGUAAGAAGCCAUCCCAUCAGUUAGUAAGUAGGGUAAGGGCCUACUUAGACGAAGACGGGUACGGGGAAUUAUCGUUUGAUUCCGGAGAGAGGGAGCCUGAGAGACGGCUACCAGGUCCAAGGACAGCAGCAGGCGCGAAAAUUACCGCAGCCUGCGUUCAGGGUGGUAGUAAGGAGACGUGAAAACAAUGUGCGGGCAAAAGACGCACUAGAUACAGGAGGACAAGACUGGUGCCAGCACCCGCGGUAAUACCAGCUCCUGGAGUGUCUAUGAUGAUUGCUGCAGUUAAAGAGUUCGUAGUCGAAGUGGUUAUAACGGUGUAACAGGCCUUCUCUCAAGGAGGGUUAUGCGCCGUGAUUCCAUGGAAUAAGGAGCGUUUAGGGGCCAGGUUAUUAAGCGACGAGGGGUGAAAUCUGGUGACUCGCUUAGGAGCAACAGAGGCGAAAGCGCUGGCCAGGAGCGAAUCCGAUGAUAAAGGACGUAGGCUAGAGGAUCGAAGACGAUUAGAGACCGUUGUAGUUCUAGCAGUAAACGAUGCCGAUACCGUGGUGCGGAUACGCGACGCGGAAGAGAAAUCGAGUAGGGCCCUGGGGAGAGUACACGCGCAAGCGAGAAAUUUAAAGGAAAUUGACGGAAGAACACCACAAGGAGUGGAGUGUGCGGCUUAAUUUGACUCAACGCGGGACAGCUUACCAGGCCCGACGGCCGGACGAGUGUUGUACACGAUAGGUCGAAGAGUGGUGCAUGGCCGUUAACGACGAGUGAGGUGACUUUUGGGUUAAAUCCGGGAAGUAGUGAGACCCCUACCGAAAGGGACAGGUGCCGAAAGCACAGGAAGGAAGGGUCAAGAACAGGUCAGUGAUGCCCUCAGAUGGUCUGGGCUGCACGCGCACUACAGUGGUCAUAGAAAUGAAACGAUAGAAUUAAAGAUGAUCGAGAGGGAAUGAGCUUUGUAAGAGGCUCAGGAACGAGGAAUUGCUAGUAAUCGCGGACUCAUUAAGACGCGAUGAAUACGUCCCUGUUCUUUGUACACACCGCCCGUCGUUAUCGAAGAUGGAGUCAGGCGCGAACAAGCGAGAGCGAGUGAGUGCAGGAUUCUAGAUGUGAUACAAGUCGUAACAAGGUAGCUGUAGGAGAACCUGUAGCUGG